This 253-nucleotide ribosomal RNA is filed under the name uncultured bacterium. Its description in RNAcentral is "partial 16S ribosomal RNA". It matches the Rfam family "Bacterial small subunit ribosomal RNA", at positions 524 to 776 of the family's 1533-position model. The record is from RNAcentral.
UACGAAGGGGGCUAGCGUUGCUCGGAAUCACUGGGCGUAAAGGGUGCGUAGGCGGGUCUUUAAGUCAGGGGUGAAAUCCUGGAGCUCAACUCCAGAACUGCCUUUGAUACUGAGGAUCUUGAGUUCGGGAGAGGUGAAUGGAACUGCGAGUGUAGAGGUGAAAUUCGUAGAUAUUCGCAAGAACACCAGUGGCGAAGGCGGCUCACUGGCCCGAUACUGACGCUGAGGUGCGAAAGCGUGGGGAGCAAACAGG